GGGGGGGCAAGCGUUGUUCGGAAUUACUGGGCGUAAAGGGCUCGUAGGCGGCCAACUAAGUCGGAUGUGAAAUCCCCAGGCUUAACCUGGGAACUGCAUCCGAUACUGGAUGGCUUGAAUCCGGGAGAGGGAUGCAGAAUUCCAGGUGUAGCGGUGAAAUGCGUAGAUAUCUGGAGGAAUACCGGUGGCGAAGGCGGCAUCCUGGACCGGCAUUGACGCUGAUGAGCGAAAGCUAGGGGAGCAAACAGG
This 249-nucleotide ribosomal RNA is filed under the name uncultured bacterium. RNAcentral's name for it is "partial 16S ribosomal RNA". It matches the Rfam family "Bacterial small subunit ribosomal RNA", at positions 528 to 776 of the family's 1533-position model. The record is from RNAcentral.